RNAcentral lists this non-coding RNA (28 nucleotides) under Mus musculus (house mouse). Lineage: Eukaryota; Metazoa; Chordata; Mammalia; Rodentia; Muridae. The record is from RNAcentral.
UGCUAAGUAGAAAAUGUGCCAGUGACAA